Molecule: ribosomal RNA, 301 nt
Filed under: uncultured bacterium
Lineage: Bacteria
Description: partial 16S ribosomal RNA
Rfam family: Bacterial small subunit ribosomal RNA
Source: RNAcentral
CAGUAGCCACGGUAAUACAGAGGAUGCAAGCGUUAUCCGGAAUGAUUGGGCGUAAAGUGUCUGUAGGUGGCUUUUCAAGUCCGCCGUCAAAUCCCAGGGCUCAACCCUGGACAGGUGGUGGAAACUACCAAGCUGGAGUAUGGUAGGGGCAGAGGGAAUUUCCGGUGGAGCGGUGAAAUGCGUUGAGAUCGGAAAGAACACCAACGGUGAAAGCACUCUGCUGGGCCGACACUGACACUGAGAGACGAGAGUUAGGGGAGAAAAUGGGAUUAGAUACCCGGGUAGUCCCUGUCUCUUAUAA